GAUGAACGCUGGCGGCGUGCCUAAUACAUGCCAGUCGAGCGAACAGACGAGGAGCUUGCUCCUCUGACGUUAGCGGCGGACGGGUGAGUAACACGUGGAUAACCUACCUAUAAGACUGGGAUAACUUCGGGAAACCGGAGCUAAUACCGGAUAAUAUAUUGAACCGCAUGGUUCAAUAGUGAAAGACGGUUUUGCUGUCACUUAUAGAUGGAUCCGCGCCUCAUUAGCUAGUUGGUAGGGUAACGGCUUACCAAGGCAACGAUGCGUAGCCGAACUGAGAGGGGGAUCGGCGACACUGGAACUGAGACGCGGUCCAGGCUCCUACGGGAGGCAGCAGUAGGGAAUCUUCCGCAAUGGGCGAAAGCCUGACGGAGCAACGCCGCGUGAGUGAUGAAGGUCUGCGGAUCGUAAAACUCUGUUAUUAGGGAAGAACAAAUGUGUAAGUAACUAUGCACGUCUUGACGGUACCUAAUCAGAAAGCCACGGCUAACUACGU
RNAcentral lists this ribosomal RNA (496 nucleotides) under uncultured bacterium. RNAcentral's name for it is "partial 16S ribosomal RNA". It matches the Rfam family "Bacterial small subunit ribosomal RNA", at positions 28 to 506 of the family's 1533-position model. The record is from RNAcentral.